GUUAAUUAUAAUAUUAGUAAUAUCGAAGUCCUAGUGAUUGUUUCUGCAUUAUAUUAACAGCGCAGUAGAGCGCCGAUUGAGAAUAUGCAUAAAGUGCUGAAGUGGCCGUCUGUAUGGCGUCAGAGAGAAAAGACUGGUUCUUCUGGUUGAAGAGAUUCGGGUCUUAAUCAAAAGAUACGCUCAGAUACUGGCCGAGCAAGAGAUGAAUGCGCGCAGGGUAGAAGAUCAUCCCGCCAGCCAGCCAACUUAACGACCCACCUUAGC
This is a long non-coding RNA of Pararge aegeria (speckled wood butterfly), 264 nucleotides long. RefSeq lists it as uncharacterized. The transcript has 3 exons. Lineage: Eukaryota; Metazoa; Arthropoda; Insecta; Lepidoptera; Nymphalidae. The record is from RefSeq and is a predicted model, not a curated record.